UUGCUUUCAGUUGUUGAGCUGUAAUGAAUGAUGACGCCUGCUAUGGUAUUUUCUGGGCUUCAUGGACUGUCUGGACCAGCAACCCUAGAAAUUUGUUCUCUCCAGGAAGCCUUUGGAACAAUCAUAGACGAAAGCCUGGGGGCUCUAGCCUCCCCAUAACCCUGGCUACAUUGUCAACUAACACCCAGGACACCUGUAUCCUAUUUGGGAUGUAUCCUCCACUAAAAAAGCCUUUGUUGCUCAUUUGAAAUGCAAAUUUCACGGGGCUUCUGGAUUUUUUAUUUGCUAAAUCUGGCACCUCUAAUCCUUUGGCUGUGGGGCAACUAGCACUGUUACCAAGAAGGAGCCCUGGGAACCUUCUUUGUUUUGCGCUCUUUAUUUCCUGACUGAAGCUGCUUUGGAAGAGUCUGGGCUCCUGCACUCUCCGCUAGUACCCUGUCUGUGCACAGUGGCACUCACUUCCCCAGGACCCAGCCCAUGUAAAGAGGACCCUAUAUAAUCCACACAGUCUCCCUCCCCCCACCCCCGCCCACUUCUCACCUUCACACAGCACUUUGUUUUGGUUUGUUUUUGUUUUUUAAAGACAGAGUUUCGCUGCCUCCCAAGUGUUGGGAUUAAAGAUGUCCACCACCACCACCACCAUCACCACCACCAUCACAAUCACCACUGCCUGGCUCGGCAUGACCAUAGUCUGACUACUCCUAGCUUGCCCUUUCUGCCUCUCUCUCCUCCACUGGCCUUGCAAAGCCCGUGCCUUUAUUUGCUGUGAGCUGCCAUGUGAGGGCCGUCCCACGUAGAGACCAGCGUGCCAAAGACCAGAGAUGGUGAGAAGACAGAGGCCUUCAAUCCAACAUCCCACAAAGAACUGGAUCGUGCCAACAGCCAUGUGUGAGAUCUUGGAGGUGGAUCCUUCCCUGGCAGAGCCCCGGGGACACCAUGACUGAGACUUGCAGCUGCCACACCUGUAUCCAUCACUGCAGGAACUGAGAUAACUGAAGUUCUUGUUUAGGACACUCACCCUUUGGGGGGCUCAGUUACAUUGUUGCAGGCAACUCUGACUGGGAAAGGGCAAAAACCGAUAGUGAUUCUGAUCCCCAUAAAAACGAGAGGAGGGCCCAGAGAAUUGGAUCUGCAGCUAAGAACACUUGUUCUUGAAGAGGACCCAGGUUUUAUUCCCAGCACCCACGGGGCUCACAACUCCAGUUUCAGGGGAUCUGAUACUGUCUUCUUACCUCCGAGGGCACCAGGCACAGAUGUGGUACACAUGUAGGCAAAACACCCCUGGACAUAAAAUAAUAAAUCUAUAAAAAGAUUUAAAAGGGAAUGGGGAGACAAAAUGAAGUAUUAUUUAUUAUGGAGCAAGAGAUGGGCACAGGGCUAGGUGGUAAAUGUUCCGUCGGCAUGCAGAGAUUCAUUUCUACCACAUAGUGGCUCAACCUCAGUUUCCAUCUCAGGUCUGUGUGCCUCCUCCUCUGCUGAGUUUCCGUAAGAGGCCUCAUGUCAUGUUCUCCAAAAUUUCUCCCAGCAUCUCCUUGUCUCUCUGAGGCCAAAUAGUAGUAAUCUUGGCCCUGAAACCUUAAGUCUGAUAGUCUUUGGAUGCCCCCUUGUGGACAGUUGUUUUCAUUCGUGUUCUCUCAGCUAAAGGGUGUCUGUGUGUGUGUGUGUGUGUGUGUGUGUGUGUGUGUACUCUGUUUCCAGAUAAAAUAAGAAGGAUAUCCCUUCACCUUCCUUGCUGGCUAAGGAAGGAUGGCUUUACAGACUCUCAGCUUGCCUGCAUGUGUAGAUGGGAGAGCUGCGUGUGCUCCCACGGCGUCAGGGGAUCCGACACCGUUGUCUUA
This is a long non-coding RNA of Grammomys surdaster, 1838 nucleotides long. RefSeq lists it as uncharacterized. NCBI's taxonomy places the organism in Eukaryota, Metazoa, Chordata, Mammalia, Rodentia, Muridae. The record is from RefSeq and is a predicted model, not a curated record. The transcript is spliced from 3 exons.